UACGAAGGGGGCUAGCGUUGUUCGGAUUUACUGGGCGUAAAGCGCACGUAGGCGGAUCGGUAAGUCGGGGGUGAAAUCCUGGAGCUCAACUCCAGAACUGCCUUCGAUACUGGGGAUCUUGAGUCCGGGAGAGGUGAGUGGAACUCCUAGUGUAGAGGUGAAAUUCGUAGAUAUUAGGAAGAACACCAGUGGCGAAGGCGGCUCACUGGUCCGGUACUGACGCUGAGGUGCGAAAGCGUGGGGAGCAAACAGG
Molecule: ribosomal RNA, 253 nt
Filed under: uncultured bacterium
Lineage: Bacteria
Description: partial 16S ribosomal RNA
Rfam family: Bacterial small subunit ribosomal RNA
Source: RNAcentral